RNAcentral lists this long non-coding RNA (330 nucleotides) under Macaca mulatta (Rhesus monkey). Its description in RNAcentral is "lncRNA (ENSMMUG00000052515.1)". Lineage: Eukaryota; Metazoa; Chordata; Mammalia; Primates; Cercopithecidae. The record is from RNAcentral.
UGGCGGAGUUCCAGAAAUGAUGUUGAGAAUCAGGCUGCAUUUCUGAGAAAACACUCAGAGCUCUUUGCUCUUGUAUACUGCCAAUGUGGAAUCACUUCUAAAUUUGCCUUAAUCCAACUCCUAGAAACACUUUGACUGUCAUUCCUGAAGUGCCAGAGUUUGAGCAAACAACACGUAAGUGGGCUGCAGAAAUGAGAGAAUGCACAACAUGCCAAAUGCACUAACAUGCUAAAAGCAGGUAAAAGCUUAUAGUGUUAUAGCUCAGUCUAGCUUUCUUCCUGUAAAAUACAUUCAAAAUUAAUGUAUGAAUCAAUUCCCUAGAUAAAAAUA